UACGUAGGGCGCAAGCGUUGUCCGGAAUUAUUGGGCGUAAAGAGCUCGUAGGCGGCUUGUCACGUCGGAUGUGAAAGCCCGAGGCUUAACCUCGGGUCUGCAUUCGAUACGGGCUAGCUAGAGUGUGGUAGGGGAGAUCGGAAUUCCUGGUGUAGCGGUGAAAUGCGCAGAUAUCAGGAGGAACACCGGUGGCGAAGGCGGAUCUCUGGGCCAUUACUGACGCUGAGGAGCGAAAGCGUGGGUAGCAAACAGG
RNAcentral lists this ribosomal RNA (253 nucleotides) under uncultured bacterium. Its description in RNAcentral is "partial 16S ribosomal RNA". It matches the Rfam family "Bacterial small subunit ribosomal RNA", at positions 524 to 776 of the family's 1533-position model. The record is from RNAcentral.